CCAGCCAUAGCUCAGUUGGUAGAGCGGAGGACUGUAGAGUGCAAGCUGAUAUCCUUAGGUCGCUGGUUCGAAUCCGGCUGGCUGGA
This 86-nucleotide transfer RNA is filed under the name Wuchereria bancrofti. Its description in RNAcentral is "tRNA-Tyr". It matches the Rfam family "tRNA". From Rfam's summary of the family: Transfer RNA (tRNA) molecules are approximately 80 nucleotides in length. Their secondary structure includes four short double-helical elements and three loops (D, anti-codon, and T loops). Further hydrogen bonds mediate the characteristic L-shaped molecular structure. tRNAs have two regions of fundamental functional importance: the anti-codon, which is responsible for specific mRNA codon recognition, and the 3' end, to which the tRNAs corresponding amino acid is attached (by aminoacyl-tRNA synthetases). tRNAs cope with the degeneracy of the genetic code in two manners: having more than one tRNA (with a specific anti-codon) for a particular amino acid; and 'wobble' base-pairing, i.e. permitting non-standard base-pairing at the 3rd anti-codon position. The record is from RNAcentral. RNAcentral also lists the same sequence under 1 other name. Lineage: Eukaryota; Metazoa; Nematoda; Chromadorea; Rhabditida; Onchocercidae.